Non-coding RNA from Cinara cedri, 204 nucleotides. Lineage: Eukaryota; Metazoa; Arthropoda; Insecta; Hemiptera; Aphididae. The record is from the annotation of a GenBank genome assembly.
GGACGAUAUGGUUAUCAAUAUUUCAGAUUAUCAAAUUUGAGUGACCAUUAUGUGAACUAUUUUUUUUUUUAUUGAAAAAGUUGUUUCCUUUUUAUGAAAAGAUCAAUUUCACAAAGUUAAUAUUAGUGAUGUGAUAUAAAUCCAGAUUUUGCACCUCAAAUUCCAAAAAUUAAUAUAAUAUUAAAAUUAUUUUAUAAAAUAUAA